GUCUUUUAUGGGUAAUAUGUGGGAAUCCAGCUGUCCAUGGCUUGGGGACUCUGCAGGUGUAGAUUGCCUGGGGACAGUCAAGGGGUGGUGAAUGCUUGGGUCGCAGCUGACAGGGCGGAGGGAAGGCCGGGUGGGCAGAACAAUGGGAGUGCGGUGCAGGGAUUGUGGGAGAGAAUCUAGGCUGGAGCCACAGUGUCUGGAGCGCCCCUCCACUCCCCUCAUCCAGCUUUUGUUCAGCUGCAAAAGCUAUCAGCACUUCCUACUGACACCAACAAUAACUCCACACAGCUGGGCCCUUUUUAGCCUGUUUACAGCACAUCAAGGCAAGGGGAGAGAGAAGACAGAGGGAAGAGGCAGAGGAGGGGAAAGAAAAGUGAAACAUAUUAGCUCCUGAUUUUAACUGACAGAAUGGCAGUGCCCUCUCUCAGCUCCCCUUCCCUCCUUCGUCGCUGACACAAUUCAUUUCCCAGUGGACUCUUUAUAUGUGAGCUGAUUAUGACUUUUAAAUCUGCGACUGUGUCAGCGCUGUCGCAACAUCAUGCAUCUAUCAAACGGCUGAAAAGCAACACUUAUCCUUUUUUUUUCUGGGACAUUGUGUCUCUUGGCUAUAUUUACUCCAGCACACAAACAGUUUCCCAGUAGCGUUUUUCAGCAUAAAUUGUUCCAUUUGGUGGAGGGGAAACAUAUUAGCUAAUACGCCCUCUUUAUCGCUACAGCAAAUAGAUCUACAAAAGCACACUACAGGAAGUCACAAGGGGGAAAAGCUGGUGCAGGAAUUCACUCAGAGGAAAUAGGACAUUCCACUAGUGCUUUGACACUUUUGCUGCUGUUAUUAUUGCUGCAAGGACAAUAAGUCGAGCCCAUACUACUUCCCGAAACAUGAAAGUGACCAAAGUACAAUAAUGGCGGAUGAGAAUAAACGGUUUCUUAGACAGAG
Molecule: long non-coding RNA, 937 nt
Organism: Amphiprion ocellaris (clown anemonefish)
Lineage: Eukaryota; Metazoa; Chordata; Actinopteri; Pomacentridae
Exons: 2
Source: RefSeq, a predicted model, not a curated record